This 103-nucleotide non-coding RNA is filed under the name Streptomyces afghaniensis 772. RNAcentral describes it as "Bacterial small subunit ribosomal RNA". It matches the Rfam family "Bacterial small subunit ribosomal RNA", at positions 1 to 106 of the family's 1533-position model. Lineage: Bacteria; Bacillati; Actinomycetota; Actinomycetes; Kitasatosporales; Streptomycetaceae. The record is from Rfam by way of RNAcentral.
UUCACGGAGAGUUUGAUCCUGGCUCAGGACGAACGCUGGCGGCGUGCUUAACACAUGCAAGUCGAACGAUGAACCACUUCGGUGGGGAUUAGUGGCGAACGGG